This 253-nucleotide ribosomal RNA is filed under the name uncultured bacterium. RNAcentral's name for it is "partial 16S ribosomal RNA". It matches the Rfam family "Archaeal small subunit ribosomal RNA", at positions 474 to 727 of the family's 1478-position model. The record is from RNAcentral.
UACCAGCACCCCGAGUGGUCGGGACGAUUAUUGGGCCUAAAGCAUCCGUAGCCGGCCUUACAAGUCCCCCGUUAAAUCCACCUGCUUAACAGAUGGGCUGCGGAAGAUACUAUAGAGCUAGGAGGCGGGAGAGGCAAGCGGUACUCGAUGGGUAGGGGUAAAAUCCGUUGAUCCAUUGAAGACCACCAGUGGCGAAGGCGGCUUGCCAGAACGCGCUCGACGGUGAGGGAUGAAAGCUGGGGGAGCAAACCGG